Musa acuminata AAA Group (dessert banana) is the source of this 2208-nucleotide long non-coding RNA. RefSeq lists it as uncharacterized. NCBI's taxonomy places the organism in Eukaryota, Viridiplantae, Streptophyta, Magnoliopsida, Zingiberales, Musaceae. The record is from RefSeq and is a predicted model, not a curated record. The transcript has 2 exons.
AAUGUAAAAGCCCUGCACGAGGGACGCGGCGCCAAAUUGGGAAAUCCAGCUCAUCGUGCACGCUAUGUGCUGCCAUGACUAGGGGGUGCUUAGGUAGUUGCAUGGGUCUCCGUCUCUCCUUACCCGAUUCUUGGCCGUCCUUGGUCGUCUAUCUCUCUCUCUCUCUCUCUCGCCUCAGUCGUGGCAUGGCGAUCGGAAUCCCCUAGCCCCGCCCCAAGGGUUGUCUUCCUCCUCUCAUCUCUUCCACAAGGUGUAGAUGCCAAAGCAAAGGAGAUCGUGCGCCUUAGUCGUGGGAUGGCGAUCGGAAUCCCCAAGUCCCGCCCCAAGGGUUGUCUCCCGCCUCUCAUCUUGCGCUGGAUCUCAGAUUUUUUGGGGUUUAAUCCUACGAAACGAACUGUCUUGAUUAGCGUCAUUAAAAUCUUGAUCCAGUUUCCCUUUUUUAUUUUUUUUUUGCUCUGCUUUUUUUUUCGAGAUUCUGGGUGAUUCUGGGAUUCUGCUUUUAAUUUUAUGUACGAUUUGGCGGGUUUCUUUUUUUUUUUUCGAAAAAGAAUUCUUUCAUUCCUUUCCUUCCUUAUCUUUAAUUCAUAGAGAAUUCCUUUCCAGACGCAAUUUUCUUGCAAUUCCGUCAUGAUCGCUUUCCAUUUCUGGCUUCGCAGAAAUGGCACCGAAAUUUCAUUGAUCCUAAAUACCAGGGCGCAUCAUACCUAAAUUUUAUUGUUCUUGGUGUUACAUCAAUCUUAUGGUUCUUUACGUUUCUUAGCAUAGCAACAUGGAAUCUCCUGAUCGGGGUUAGUCUUAAAUCCAGAUGUUGACACGGGUUUCUUUUUUUUUGUAUUCCCAUUAUUUAUUAUGGUUCAUUAAGUAUUACGUUUGUUGAUAUUGUUUCCAAUAAUCUGAUUCCUUUAGGAUAUCAUUCUUCUGCCAUUGUCCAUUACGUCUACCAUCUGAUUUAACCAGAUUAAGGUUUUCUCAUUAAUAAGCAAAUUCUCAAUCAUGUACUGAUACUGGUCGGCAACCGGACCAGUAUAGUACUGGUGCAGGAUCACACACUAACUUUUGCUGUUGGUCAGUCUGAGGCGCAUGAGAGAGAAGAUUGGGGAUGGGGUUUGGGGGGAGGGGGAAGGAAAGGAUAGGUGGCAGCGACGCCACGAGGAGAGGCGGAAGAGGAGAGGCAGAUAGAAAGAGAGAAAUAGAGAAGUAAAAAAAACAAUAUAGCUAUGGCAGCUACUAGGUGGUGCAUCCUCCUCUACUAGAUUGAACUGUGCAAAAUCGCUUGUUCCUUGUCCUGGUUGGCAAUCGAACUGGUAAAUAGUGGCCUGCAUUGAUAGGAUCAAUUGGUAAGGGCGGUAUUUUAAUCCAUGACUCUUAUAAGAUGGUUGGAAAGUGUGCUAUAUUUUAUGGAUCUAAAUAUUGAAACUCCAAGAAACAAUAUAUUGAAGAAGUUAAUGCUGUUCAAACAAGAAAUUUUGUAAUCGAUGUGUUUACUAAAAAAGAAAAAAAAAUAAAGAAGCUUGCAUUUGUGAACAUUUUACAAUAUUUCUUAUUAGAGAUAAGAUGAAGAUAGCUAUGGCUUGCGUUAUCCAGAGAUUUGUGCACAUGAUGUUUUGUAUGGUUUCAAGUGAAAUUACUUCCUUUUUGAGUGAACUGUCUGAACUUAUUAAAUCUCAAUCUAUUUCUAUGAGAAAUAUUGAAUUUUGGUCUAUUUAUUUCUAGACUUAACAAACCUGUCAUUACAACUUUGAAGCGAUAUAGAACGUAUCAGAUCAGUUUAAAAAAUUGGAAUGGUCCACCAGUUCAUGACAUCAAGCCUUCAACUGGGGGAAUCAAUCACAUGGGGCAAUCAAAUAAGAAUCGAUCCCAACUUGAAGAUACAUACUUUUCCUCUGCUUUUCUUUUUUUUAUCUUUUUCUGUCUGUCUCCCCCUUUUCCUCUGCAGAUUACAGGUUCAUAUGGCAUGCUAUAUCAGUAAAAGAGGAUUUAUGUUGUUUAGUUUGACUAUUAGAGUAGUGGUCAAGGCAGGAAAGGAUUUUGUACCUGUCUGAAAAUAGUUAGAUCUAUGGCUUAUUGCUGUUGCUGUUGUUGUUUUUGUCGUUAGAUCUUUUUUGAUCAUCUGUUUAGUAAUGUUAUCUUGUUAGCCUAAGUAUGUACUCAAAAUCCUCAACUCCAUACAAAUUAUAUGUGAAAAAUCAUGCUUAUAUUUUAUGCACA